CCUACGGGUGGCAGCAGUGAGGAAUAUUGGUCAAUGGACGCAAGUCUGAACCAGCCAUGCCGCGUGCAGGAAGACGGCUCUAUGAGUUGUAAACUGCUUUUGUACGAGGGUAAACGCAGAUACGCGUAUCUUUCUGAAAGUAUCGUACGAAUAAGGAUCGGCUAACUCCGUGCCAGCAGCCGCGGUAAUACGGAGGAUUCAAGCGUUAUCCGGAUUUAUUGGGUUUAAAGGGUGCGUAGGCGGUCGUAUAAGUUAGAGGUGAAAUCCCGAGGCUCAACUUCGGAAUUGCCUUUGAUACUGUUCGGCUAGAGAGUAGUUGCGGUAGGCGGAAUGUAUGGUGUAGCGGUGAAAUGCUUAGAGAUCAGACAGAACACCGAUUGCGAAGGCAGCUUACCAAGCUACUUCUGACGUUGAGGCACGAAAGCGUGGGGAGCAAACAGGAUUAGAUACCCCAGUAGUC
RNAcentral lists this ribosomal RNA (460 nucleotides) under uncultured bacterium. RNAcentral's name for it is "partial 16S ribosomal RNA". It matches the Rfam family "Bacterial small subunit ribosomal RNA", at positions 338 to 795 of the family's 1533-position model. The record is from RNAcentral.